UACGUAAGGGGCAAGCGUUAUCCGGAUUUACUGGGUGUAAAGGGAGCGUAGACGGCAGGGCAAGUCUGGAGUGAAAGGCGGGGGCUCAACCCCCGGACUGCUCUGGAAACUGCCAGGCUGGAGUGCAGGAGAGGUAAGUGGAAUUCCUAGUGUAGCGGUGAAAUGCGUAGAUAUUAGGAGGAACACCAGUGGCGAAGGCGGCUUACUGGACUGUAACUGACGUUGAGGCUCGAAAGCGUGGGGAGCAAACAGG
This 253-nucleotide ribosomal RNA is filed under the name uncultured bacterium. RNAcentral describes it as "partial 16S ribosomal RNA". It matches the Rfam family "Bacterial small subunit ribosomal RNA", at positions 524 to 776 of the family's 1533-position model. The record is from RNAcentral.